AUGGCGGGCUUGGCCAAGAUCGCCAUGGAAUGGCUCCAAGAUCCACUGAGCUGGCUGCUCGUUGCCUCGGUGGCCUUCGUCGUGCUGCAGCGGCGGCAGCGAGGCAAGGCACCGCCGCUGCCUCCGGGGCCAUAUGCGCUGCCGAUCGUGGGCAACAUGUUAAUGAUGGACCAGCUGACCCACCGGGGCCUCCUGGAGCUGGCGAAGCAGUACGGCGGCCUGCUCCACCUCCGCCUCGGCAAGCUCCACGCCAUCGCCGUGUCGACGCCGGAGUACGCUCAGGAGGUGCUGCAGGCGCAGGACGGCGCCUUCUCGAACCGGCCGGCGACCAUCGCCAGCACCUACCUCACCCGGCGCCGUGCGGGGACGUGGCUCGCCGUGCGCGACGAGUCCGCGGCCCUCGUCCGCGCCGUGGCCCGGCGGAGCGGGGAGUCCGUGAACCUCGGCGAGCUCAUCCUUAACCUCACCAAGAACGUCACCUUCCGCGCCGCGUUCGGCACUGCCGGCGACGGCGACGGCGGGAAGCAGGACGAGUUCAUCGCCAUCAUCAAGGAGUUCUCCCAGCUCUUCGCCGCAUUCAGCAUCGGCGACUUUAUCCCGUGGCUCAGCUGGGCGGACACACAGGGCAUCAACGUGCGCCUCCGCGCCGCGCGUGCCGCCCUCGACGAGUUCAUUGACAAGAUCAUCGACGGGCACAUGAAGAGGAGCAAGAACCCUAACGACAUCGACGCCGACAUGGUGGACGACAUGCUUGCGUUCCUCCCUGAGGCGAAAUCGAAGAUGGCCGUUGGCGACGGCGGGGAUGACCUGCACAACACGCUCAGCCUCACCCGUGACAACAUCAAGGCCAUCAUCAUGGACGUGAUGUUUGGCGGAACGGAGACGGUGGCGACAGCGGUCGAGUGGGCAAUGGCGGAGAUGAUGCACAACCCUGAUGACCUUCUGCGGCUGCAAAAGGAGAUCACCAACAUGGUGGGUCUUGACCGGAACGUGGAUGAUUCAGACCUCAACAAGCUCCCCUUCCUCAAGUGCGUCGUCAAGGAGACACUCCGACUACACCCGCCAUUCCCGCUGCUCCACAACGAGACCGCUGAGGACUGCGUCGUUGGUGGCUAUUCUGUGCCCCGGGGCUCCCGCGUCAUGAUCAAUGUCUUCGCCAUGGGCCGCGAUGCCAAGGCGUGGAAGGGCGCUGACACAUUCCGACCAUCACGGUUUAUGCCGGGUGAAGGGGAGGCCACCGGGGUUGACUUCAUGGGUGGGUGCUUCGCAUUCCUGCCGUUUGGGUCUGGCCGCCGCUCGUGUCCUGGAAUGGCGUUGGGCCUAUACUCGCUCGAGCUCAUCGUCGCGCAGCUUGCCCAUGGUUUCAGCUGGGUAUUGCCUGAUGGCAUGAAGCCAUCAGAUCUUGACAUGGCCGACAUCUUCGGCUUCACUGCACCACGUGCCACUAGGCUCUGCGUUGUGCCAACCCCACGACUUGCCUGCCUUUUUGUCACUAAUGUCGACUCCACGCGUCAGACGACGUUGUUCGCCAGUGUAGGUGGUGUUUGA
RNAcentral lists this ribosomal RNA (1548 nucleotides) under Triticum aestivum (bread wheat). RNAcentral describes it as "partial small subunit ribosomal RNA". Lineage: Eukaryota; Viridiplantae; Streptophyta; Magnoliopsida; Poales; Poaceae. The record is from RNAcentral.